This is a long non-coding RNA of Corvus hawaiiensis (hawaiian crow), 2819 nucleotides long. RefSeq lists it as uncharacterized. Lineage: Eukaryota; Metazoa; Chordata; Aves; Passeriformes; Corvidae. The record is from RefSeq and is a predicted model, not a curated record. The transcript has 6 exons.
ACACAGCUGCCUUCCCACUUCUGGAUUGGACACAGGUCUCUCCUCCGGCUUUCAGGGGCAGGAUCUGAGCAAGAGCUUGGACACUUCCAAGAUAGGAAACCCAGAGCCAAGUGCCUCAGCUUCCACAUGCAUGCUGGCAGCCCAAUAAUUGGGUAUUAAACCACAUUUUACUGAACAAUUUGGAGUGUCCCAUUUGGGGUAAGCACCAGCUGGUGCUCCAAGCGCUCUGCUGGGACAAGCAGUUUGGAGCUGGACUUUGCUGAUCCCCGUGGAUCCCUUCCAACUCAGGAUAUUCGAUGAAGUGGCGUGAAUGGAUUAAUUUAAAAUGUGCUGGGGUGGCUCUUUACAUUCAACUGUGAAAACACUCAAGGAGAGAAAUUCCUAGAACCAGCCUUUGCUCCGCUAGCAGUUCCCAGCCUGAACCGUUUCCAGCGCAACCACUGAUCAAACCUACCCCGGUUUUCUUUUCAAGCUCCCCUCAAACAGAAAAAAAAAAUCACAGCCAAGGGUAGAAAAUUUGCCAGGCUCUUUGGGAGCGUGUUGGGAGUUUCGGGUGCUGGGGACGCCGGAGCCAGCAGCCAUCCAGGCUUCUCCAAACUCCUAAUUUUGCAGGGAGAUCUCAAGCUAACGAGCUGUCAGCCGAGUGCCUUCGCACCCGAGGCAGCCGUGGGCUGAGCUCCUGGUUCUUUAUACCUAUUCCAGCAACUUCUGGGCUUUGCAAUAAGCGUCUGCAAAUCCAAUUAGCGUCUUUCUUUGUGGCACUGGAUGCUGGCAGAGAUCCGCUGUGCUGCUGCCAUCUACAGUAGGGCCAGUGCCAAUGGAUAAGAAACAGCUCUGAUUUGCAUAUUCAAAUAUGCAAAUGAGACGCGACAGCUCUCCUUCAUUUUUGUUUGGGUUUUAUUUUUUAAUUUUUCUUUCCAGACUCUUGCCUCAAAGAUCCUUGUCUUGGACUGAAAGGUGUGUGUUUAAUCUGGCUUGGCCCAUGGUAGGAGACCAUGCCAAGGGCUGGUUCUGUCCCGUGAGAGUUGGGGAUGAUGGAAAAUAAAGUGGAAAAAAGACUUUGCACUGCGCUUAUCCCUGUCUUGGCCAGGGAUGGGAAAGAUUUCAGGGGUGUUUUCCCAGGUUCCAGCCCUGGGAAAGGACAACACGUUCUUUCUCUCUCCUGCCUGUGCACACCACGGAUGCUUUACAGGCCGAACGUGGCUGUUCCUGGGGAGUGUGAGUAAAGGGGCGUUGAGAUGAGUCCUGGUGCUCCAGUGGGGAAGGUCCGGACAGAGCAGCCCUCACUCAGGUGUCCCCAGUCACCAGACUGUCAGGAGCUGUGGCAGAGCCCACCCCGGCUCUUGGGAUGAUCUGAGGAGCAGGCAACUGCAGACAAAACUGCUCCUCGAGGCACCUCUUCCCUCCCCCUGGCUCCCUUUCUCUGCAGGAACACAGCACUGACCCCCCAAACACACACACACAGGGCCCCCCACCCUCCCCAGCAGCCCCUCCAGACCGUUCUCAUGCAGCCUGAGAUGCCUGAAUUGCUCAUUUUUCAGCAAAAGUUCUUUCCUGUACGUUUAGCAUCCCUCACUGCGAGGUGGGCUGUACAUCAACUGCACAUCGACUGCAAGUCCCUGUCAUGGUUUUGUAUGUCUGUGCUUGUGGCUUGCCCUUCCUGUCUCUGGAGAAACAAGUUUGUUUCACUGUUUUUCAUAUUCAUUAUUAUUUUCUCAUUACUAAUUUAGUUGCAGCCUUCCCUGCUUCCACUCUUGCACUGAAGACCAUGACUUCUGUGGUCAGUCUGGGCUCUGAGUGGCUUGGGCACCAGCCAGGGAACAAGCAAGGCUGAUUCCAGCACGGAAAGAAUCAGGCAAUGUAGAAAAACGGUCAUCUUGUAAUAGCUCUAAAGGAUUUAAAGAUUAAGACACAAACCUCACAUUUGAACGGGGUUUCUCUGAGAAAAUUCACUCUUCCACUUUGUGCCCAUGUGCAACGUGCCUGAGUGGAAGGAUUCUCAAGUUCUGGAUGUCAGUGACUUCACUGCCUUCUCUUACAGCUGCAAAGUGAUUACAGUGGUCUUCACCCACUUCUGCAAAGCACAUCCCAUGAGCCAAGUGCUCGGUGGUGUUCCCAAGAUGAACAAAUCUGCAGCUGAAACCCAGAAAUGGUGAUAUUUAGUGCUGGUGAAAAGAGCCAGAUGAAUAGUCCCAAACACGUCACGUCCCUCGCAGAUGCAACAUGGGCAGCACAAGCGUCCUCGAACUGCCCCGCCAACGUGAUCCAGUUCUGAAUGAGCAGCACCAGCUUUCUGGGGGAGAAAGGAGCCUGUCACCAUUCAGCCCCUGACCCCUCUGCUCCAGCCUGUUAAUGAAGGGGCCUCAUUAACACCAAAGAUAAAUCACUCUGCCUUGAAAAGUUUCCAGUCUGCGAGCCAAAUCCUGGGAAUCUGAAACAGCGGGAGGCAACUGGUGCAGCAGAACAGCUCGAUGCUGACCCAGACCCCACGCCUGGAAUUUGGCAUCCACAGCUGGAGCCUCCCCCCCUCAGCAGCACCAGGAGAGAAGUGAGACUGGGAUCAGCAACACGGCUCUAAUCCUGAUAGGAUCACCCAGAAGAGCCCAACUUGUGCAACUCCAGCCCGGGGCGGAGGGACAGAACCUUCACCUGUGACAGGGGACAAGGCUGCAGGUCCUGACAUCACAGUGCCAGUGCUUUGGGGCAGGAAGCAGCAGUCUGGGGAGUGUUUGCAGCGUGCUGGGCUGGACUCCUGAGCACAGCCUUCUGGGCAGGUAAGAGAGCCAUGGGAUUAGUUAGAGUGUGAGAGGGCCAGGACA